GGCGGGGUAGCUCAGUUGGUUAGAGCACAGGACUCAUAAGCCUGGGGUCGGCGGUUCGACUCCGCCCCCCGCUACCA
This 77-nucleotide transfer RNA is filed under the name Candidatus Pacearchaeota archaeon. RNAcentral describes it as "tRNA-Met". It matches the Rfam family "tRNA". From Rfam's summary of the family: Transfer RNA (tRNA) molecules are approximately 80 nucleotides in length. Their secondary structure includes four short double-helical elements and three loops (D, anti-codon, and T loops). RNAcentral also lists the same sequence under 1 other name. The record is from RNAcentral. Lineage: Archaea; Nanobdellati.